Molecule: ribosomal RNA, 198 nt
Filed under: uncultured bacterium
Lineage: Bacteria
Description: partial 16S ribosomal RNA
Rfam family: Bacterial small subunit ribosomal RNA
Source: RNAcentral
GGAUCGGAGUCUGCAACCCGACUCCGUGAAGCUGGAUUCGCUAGUAAUCGCGCAUCAGCCAUGGCGCGGUGAAUACGUUCCCGGGCCUUGUACACACCGCCCGUCAAGCCAUGGGAGCCGGGGGUGCUUGAAGUGCGUCGCCGCGAGGCGCGCCCUAGAGCAAAACCGGUGACUGGGGCUAAGUCGUAACAAGGUAUC